UACGGAGGGUGCGAGCGUUAAUCGGAAUUACUGGGCGUAAAGGGUGCGUAGGUGGUUACUUAAGUUAUCUGUGAAAUCCCCGGGCUCAACCUGGGCAAGCCAGAUAAGACUGAAUAACUAGAGUAUGGGAGAGGGUAGUGGAAUUUCCGGUGUAGCGGUGAAAUGCGUAGAGAUCGGAAGGAACACCGGUGGCGAAGGCGGCUACCUGGCCUAAUACUGACACUGAGGCACGAAAGCGUGGGGAGCAAACAGC
Molecule: ribosomal RNA, 253 nt
Filed under: uncultured bacterium
Lineage: Bacteria
Description: partial 16S ribosomal RNA
Rfam family: Bacterial small subunit ribosomal RNA
Source: RNAcentral